GGGGAUGACGGGCUUCGACAAAAGAUCGUUAUCAUAGAUAUGCGUGUCGAGUGAGGAGGUAUCUCGUAAAACUACUUUCAAAAGACUAAGUGCAAACAAAGUCGCUUCAGUGAAAUCACCUUAUAUGGGUAAUUUCGCUUUCGCAUUCGCCUAAAUUUAGGUCAUGUGUUUGUCUACUCUCUAGACAUCCGAUAUAGGGUGUAGGCAUCAUUCAUCGGGUUACGAAUUACAAACUGCUUGAUUGUAAUUCCGACAAUAAAGAGCUCGGUGUUCAUCUUUUUUGUACGUUUUCUAGGAUGAAUAUUUAAACCAAAUAAACGUUGCUACACAUGUAGACGUAUCUAUGAACAUCUUUUGCAUGGCGGUUCAACUCCGCCCAUCUCCACAA
Molecule: transfer-messenger RNA, 388 nt
Filed under: Patescibacteria group bacterium
Lineage: Bacteria
Rfam family: transfer-messenger RNA
About the family: Bacterial tmRNA, also known as 10Sa RNA or SsrA, is named for its dual tRNA and mRNA-like properties. Its role is to liberate the mRNA from a stalled ribosome. To accomplish this part of the tmRNA is used as a reading frame that ends in a translation stop signal.
Source: RNAcentral